UUUGAUUCAGAGCAAGCGCCCAGGGAUUCACUUCUUUUUAUUUUUCAUCAUUCCAUUCACUCCACUACACCUCAUCGACUGAACACCCUUUCAUUUCCUUCUCAUCUUUUUCUUUUCAUUCUCCAUUUUUUUUCCUUAUUUUCUUUAUUAUUAUUAUUAUUAUUAUUUUCAAAAACUCAACUCUCACCGCUGCCGGGGCACCGACCAGCCGCCGCCGGUCGACGACCUCCUGUCCAUCUCAUCAGUUUCCCAUUAUUAUUAUUAUUAUUAUUAUUAUUAUUAUUAUUAUUAUUAUUAUUAUUAUUACCACUUCGAUUCAGAGCAAGCGCCCAGGGAUUCACUUCUUUUUAUUUUUCAUCAUUCCAUUCACUCCACUACACCUCACCGACUGAACACCCUUUCAUUUCCUUCUCAUCUUUUUCUUUUCAUUCUCCAUUUUUUUCCUUAUUUUCUUUAUUAUUAUUAUUAUUAUUAUUUUCAAAAACUCAACCCUCACCGCUGCCGGGGCACCGACCAGCCGCCGCCGGUCGGCG
RNAcentral lists this long non-coding RNA (533 nucleotides) under Vitis vinifera (wine grape). Its description in RNAcentral is "long non-coding RNA (VVIN_LNC005088)". Lineage: Eukaryota; Viridiplantae; Streptophyta; Magnoliopsida; Vitales; Vitaceae. The record is from RNAcentral.